UAAUACUGUCUGGUAAUGAUGU
RNAcentral lists this microRNA (22 nucleotides) under Patiria miniata (bat star). RNAcentral's name for it is "pmi-miR-200-3p". Its record names the gene pmi-miR-200-3p. Lineage: Eukaryota; Metazoa; Echinodermata; Asteroidea; Valvatida; Asterinidae. The record is from miRBase by way of RNAcentral.